UUUGGCAUGAGGUGGUGGAAGUGGCUUUUUCACGGGCCUAGGUAAUGGUGAUCUCAAAAUAGGAGAUGGAGUAGUUGGUGGUUUUGAGUGAGGCGAUGGUGGUGGUGGUCUUAUCACAAUAGGAGGAAGAGUUGGUGGUUUUUGUGGUGGUGAUGGCUUUUUGUAAAAUGGGGGUGGUGGUCUUAUCACAAUAGGAGGAAGAGUUGGUGGUUUUAGUGGAGGUGAUGGCUUUUUGUAAAAUGGGGGUGGUGGUCUUAUCACAAUAGGAGGAAGAGUUGGUGGUUUUAGUGGAGGUGAUGGCUUUUUGUAAAACGGGGGUGGUGGUCUUGUCACAAUGGGAGGAAGAGUUGGUGGUUUUAGUGGUGGUGAUGGCUUUCUGUAAAAUGGGGGUGGGGGUUUCUUGAUGGGAGCUGGGAGCUUGUAAAUAGGACUAGAGGUAGGUGGCUUGGGUUGCUCAUUGUAUUGAGCUAGAGAUGAAGUGAUGAGAACCAUCACUCCAAGCAAUAGCACAAGCGACUUUGAGUAACUCAUCAUCAUCUGUAGGUUUUUGGUUAUGG
RNAcentral lists this long non-coding RNA (557 nucleotides) under Malus domestica (apple). RNAcentral describes it as "long non-coding RNA (MDOM_LNC012199)". Lineage: Eukaryota; Viridiplantae; Streptophyta; Magnoliopsida; Rosales; Rosaceae. The record is from RNAcentral.